Molecule: ribosomal RNA, 443 nt
Filed under: uncultured bacterium
Lineage: Bacteria
Description: partial 16S ribosomal RNA
Rfam family: Bacterial small subunit ribosomal RNA
Source: RNAcentral
CCUACGGGAGGCUGCAGUGGGGAAUAUUGGACAAUGGGGGGAACCCUGAUCCAGCGACGCCGCGUGAGUGAAGAAGUAUUUCGGUAUGUAAAGCUCUAUCAGCAGGGAAGAAAGAAAUGACGGUACCUGACUAAGAAGCCCCGGCUAACUACGUGCCAGCAGCCGCGGUAAUACGUAGGGGGCAAGCGUUAUCCGGAUUUACUGGGUGUAAAGGGAGCGUAGACGGCGAUGCAAGUCUGAAGUGAAAGGCGGGGGCCCAACCUCCGGACUGCUUUGGAAACUGUAUGGCUGGAGUGCAGGAGAGGUAAGUGGAAUUCCUAGUGUAGCGGUGAAAUGCGUAGAGAUUAGGAGGAACACCAGUGGCGAAGGCGGCUUACUGGACUGUAACUGACGUUGAGGCUCGAAAGCGUGGGGAGCAAACAGGAUUAGAUACCCCUGUAGUC